GACGAACGCUGGCGGCGUGCCUAAUACAUGCAAGUAGAACGCUGAAGAGAGGAGCUUGCUCUUCUUGGAUGAGUUGCGAACGGGUGAGUAACGCGUAGGUAACCUGCCUUGUAGCGGGGGAUAACUAUUGGAAACGAUAGCUAAUACCGCAUAACAAUGGAUGACACAUGUCAUUUAUUUGAAAGGGGCAAUUGCUCCACUACAAGAUGGACCUGCGUUGUAUUAGCUAGUAGGUGAGGUAACGGCUCACCUAGGCGACGAUACAUAGCCGACCUGAGAGGGUGAUCGGCCACACUGGGACUGAGACACGGCCCAGACUCCUACGGGAGGCAGCAGUAGGGAAUCUUCGGCAAUGGGGGCAACCCUGACCGAGCAACGCCGCGUGAGUGAAGAAGGUUUUCGGAUCGUAAAGCUCUGUUGUAAGUCAAGAACGAGUGUGAGAGUGGAAAGUUCAC
This 455-nucleotide ribosomal RNA is filed under the name Streptococcus sp. oral taxon C65. Its description in RNAcentral is "bacterial SSU rRNA". It matches the Rfam family "Bacterial small subunit ribosomal RNA", at positions 28 to 467 of the family's 1533-position model. The record is from RNAcentral. Lineage: Bacteria; Bacillati; Bacillota; Bacilli; Lactobacillales; Streptococcaceae.